CGGCGAGUGAGCGGCAAGAGCUCAGAUUUGAAAUCGUGCUAAUUUUUUUGGCACGAGUUGUAGAGUGUAGGCGGGAGUCUUUGUGGAGCACGGUGUCCAAGUCCCUUGGAACAGGGCGCCUGAGAGGGUGAGAGCCCCGUGGGGUGCCGUGCGAAGCUUUGAGGCCCUGCUGACGAGUCGAGUUGUUUGGGAAUGCAGCUCCAAGUGGGUGGUAAAUUCCAUCUAAGGCUAAAUACUGGCGAGAGACCGAUAGCGAACAAGUACUGUGAAGGAAAGAUGAAAAGCACUUUGAAAAGAGAGUGAAACAGCACGUGAAAUUGUUGAAAGGGAAGGGUAUUGGGCCCGACAUGGGGAGUGCGCACCGCUGUCUCUUGUAGGCGGCGCUCUGGGCGCUCUCUGGGCCAGCAUCGGUUCUUGCUGCGGGAGAAUGGGUGCCGGAAAGUGGCUCUUCGGAGUGUUAUAGCCGGCGCCAGAUACCGCGUGCGGGGACCGAGGACUGCGG
Molecule: ribosomal RNA, 502 nt
Filed under: Pichia membranifaciens
Lineage: Eukaryota; Fungi; Ascomycota; Pichiomycetes; Pichiales; Pichiaceae
Description: partial large subunit ribosomal RNA
Rfam family: Eukaryotic large subunit ribosomal RNA
Source: RNAcentral